UACGUAGGUGGCGAGCGUUGUCCGGAUUUACUGGGCGUAAAGAGCGCGCAGGCGGUCGUACAAGUCGCGUGUGAAAGCCCCCGGCUCAACUGGGGAGGGUCACGCGAUACUGUUCGACUCGAAGGCAGGGGAGGGUAGUGGAAUUCCCGGUGUAGUGGUGAAAUGCGUAGAUAUCGGGAGGAACACCAGUGGCGAAGGCGACUACCUGGCCUGUUCUUGACGCUGAGGCGCGAAAGCUAGGGUAGCAAACGGG
RNAcentral lists this ribosomal RNA (253 nucleotides) under uncultured bacterium. RNAcentral describes it as "partial 16S ribosomal RNA". It matches the Rfam family "Bacterial small subunit ribosomal RNA", at positions 524 to 776 of the family's 1533-position model. The record is from RNAcentral.